Molecule: long non-coding RNA, 1436 nt
Organism: Penaeus monodon (black tiger shrimp)
Lineage: Eukaryota; Metazoa; Arthropoda; Malacostraca; Decapoda; Penaeidae
Exons: 3
Source: RefSeq, a predicted model, not a curated record
CCCGCCGUCGCCACCGUCGGCGUGCCGCGAGCAGCUGACCCCCGCCGCUCCCGCCGCCGCUCCUGCCGCGUCGCAGUCACUCCCGCUCGCCCCGACUCGACGGUCGCCGUCCAUGGCGGACUUGUGAACCGAGCCAUCCGCGGCCCGAAAUCCGCUCCCUCGAAAGGACUCUCGGAGGCGCCGAAGGAGGAUCUUGUGGCCGGGCCCGCCAGCCGGGCUCCCGCGCCUCCUUCCCUUCCUCCUCCUGGAACCCGCAUGUCCCCGGAGGCCCUCCGGUGAGGCCCGAGGAGGAGAGUCCUGAAAUCAAAGGGGAAGAGAGGGACUGAUCUCGUGGUGUCUCCCGCUCGAGCUCAUAGGCAGCUCUCGGAGUUUACAGUGCUACAGUGGUGGGGAGGAUAGAAGAAAGGGAAAAAGGAAGAAGAAGAAGAAGAAGGAGGAGGAGGAGAAAAGGAAGACAGUAAAAGGAGACCAAAAAAAAGAAAAGAGGGACGAAGAAGAAGCAGAGAGAAGGAGAAAAGGACCAGGAAAGCGAGCGGGCAACGGCGUCCCAGUUUCUCUAGCGCGUGCGAGGCUCCGGCGAAGGGAGAGACAUCCACGCUGCCGAGACAGAACAGGUGAGAGGUACCACAACUGCGGCGGAAGAAGUCCUGUCUCGGUAUCUUGAAAGGGUUCGACUAAUCGUCUGUUCGAGACAGGAAUCGGAUCAUGCCUCGUUAACAGGGUUAGAUCAACGGAAACACAGUGUGAAAAAAAAGAGAAAUCACAUUUUCCCGCAACAAAGAUAAAAGCAAGAAAGAGGGGAACACCGCGUGAAUAUUCGCACACGAAAUAACACGAAGGGAAUCCAAGCCCUCUUCCCUUGCAACAGCAGCAGCAACCGUGCAACAUGAUGGCACUCUCCGUCAGAACACCCGAGAGCAGCGGUGCCCGGCGAUCGGUGGGCGGAGCUAAGCUGAAUCAAGCCACUCCCACCUCCGCCACGACGACGCGCACACGCCCAUCGUCUCAGCCCAAGCCCCGCCCACACCUGAGGGGGGAACGCCCAUCCAUGACCCUCAUGUUGACCUAUGGGGCUAUGUUGACCCUCAUGGCACUCUCUGCAGCACUUGGAGUGGAUGCCACGGAUGGUGAGUAAACAUAAUCCGUUUUUAUUUGUGCGUUUUCCUUUUUCUCAUCUUGUGUCUGUUUUCACUCGUGUUUUCAUCAUGCAUUUUUAUGUCUGGGACUGCAAGGAAGAGAGAGAAAAAAAAGGGUUGAAAAUUACUGAAAAUUAGAUAAAACCGACUUUAAUACAGGUGCAUAUGACUUACUUUGCAAGCGUAAUAAUAUUACCGACAAUUUUUUUUUUUUAGUAUACUUUGGAUGAUUCAAUACAAAGCGAGGAAAAAUGCAAUUGAUGUGUAUAUGUUCAGAUCAAAUGAGAGAGAGAGAGAGAA